This 327-nucleotide ribosomal RNA is filed under the name uncultured bacterium. Its description in RNAcentral is "partial 16S ribosomal RNA". It matches the Rfam family "Bacterial small subunit ribosomal RNA", at positions 355 to 673 of the family's 1533-position model. The record is from RNAcentral.
UAGGGAAUCUUCCACAAUGGACGCAAGUCUGAUGGAGCAACGCCGCGUGAGUGAAGAAGGUCUUCGGAUCGUAAAGCUCUGUUGUUGGUGAAGAAGGAUAGAGGCAGUAACUGGUCUUUAUUUGACGGUAAUCAACCAGAAAGUCACGGCUAACUACGUGCCAGCAGCCGCGGUAAUACGUAGGUGGCAAGCGUUGUCCGGAUUUAUUGGGCGUAAAGCGAGCGCAGGCGGAAUGAUAAGUCUGAUGUGAAAGCCCACGGCUCAACCGUGGAACUGCAUCGGAAACUGUCAUUCUUGAGUGCAGAAGAGGAGAGUAGGAACUCCAUG